This 234-nucleotide ribosomal RNA is filed under the name uncultured bacterium. Its description in RNAcentral is "partial 16S ribosomal RNA". It matches the Rfam family "Bacterial small subunit ribosomal RNA", at positions 99 to 334 of the family's 1533-position model. The record is from RNAcentral.
CGGACGGGUGAGUAAUGCGUAGGAAUUUACCUCAAGGCGGGGGAUAGCCCGGAGAAAUCCGGAUUAAUACCGCAUGUGCUCUACGGAGGAAAGCGGGCCUCUUCUUGAAAGCUCGCACUUUGAGAUAAGCCUACGUCGGAUUAGCUUGUUGGUAGGGUAAAAGCCUACCAAGGCGACGAUCCGUAGCUGGUUUGAGAGGAUGAUCAGCCACACUGGGACUGAGACACGGCCCAG